GACGAACGCUGGCGGCGUGCCUAAUACAUGCAAGUCGAACGCUGAAGAGAGGAGCUUGCUCUUCUUGGAUGAGUUGCGAACGGGUGAGUAACGCGUAGGUAACCUGCCUUGUAGCGGGGGAUAACUAUUGGAAACGAUAGCUAAUACCGCAUAACAAUGGAUGACACAUGUCAUUUAUUUGAAAGGGGCAAUUGCUCCACUACAAGAUGGACCUGCGUUGUAUUAGCUAGUAGGUGAGGUAACGGCUCACCUAGGCGACGAUACAUAGCCGACCUGAGAGGGUGAUCGGCCACACUGGGACUGAGACACGGCCCAGACUCCUACGGGAGGCAGCAGUAGGGAAUCUUCGGCAAUGGGGGCAACCCUGACCGAGCAACGCCGCGUGAGUGAAGAAGGUUUUCGGAUCGUAAAGCUCUGUUGUAAGUCAAGAACGAGUGUGAGAGUGGAAAGUUUACACUGGGACGGUAGCUUACCAGAAAGGGACGGCUAACUACGUG
RNAcentral lists this ribosomal RNA (497 nucleotides) under uncultured bacterium. RNAcentral describes it as "partial 16S ribosomal RNA". It matches the Rfam family "Bacterial small subunit ribosomal RNA", at positions 28 to 507 of the family's 1533-position model. The record is from RNAcentral.